CCAUGUCGGAUCCGCGGGCGCGGACGCGCAUUUACUGUAACGGUUGACCAUGACUGUACACCAAGAGCCAAGAAGAGUCUACUACUAGUGGAUAUUUUCUUUGCUGGGACACGGUUGCGCUGAACCCUCUCGACCAUCGUUUCGGGGACUCUGAUGACAGUGAAGAGCCAGAAAAUGGUGACUUUGCAUCUCUGAGGUACCUUCCAACUCGCCUGGUAUAUCAGUUGAACCCUCAAGCCCAAGCCAAUUGCACUGGCAAACUCCACCAUCUC
This is a long non-coding RNA of Alosa alosa (allis shad), 272 nucleotides long. RefSeq lists it as uncharacterized. NCBI's taxonomy places the organism in Eukaryota, Metazoa, Chordata, Actinopteri, Clupeiformes, Clupeidae. The record is from RefSeq and is a predicted model, not a curated record. The transcript has 3 exons.